AUCGCUUCUCGGCCUUUUGGCUAAGAUCAAGUGAAGAAUUAAAAUUUUAAAAACUUACACAUAAGUGUGUAUACGUGCAUAUACCAUAUGUAUAUAUGUGUGUAUGCCAUAUGUAUGUGGAUGUCCC
Small nuclear RNA from Rattus norvegicus (Norway rat), 127 nucleotides. Ensembl annotates it as U2 spliceosomal RNA. NCBI's taxonomy places the organism in Eukaryota, Metazoa, Chordata, Mammalia, Rodentia, Muridae. The record is from Ensembl.